AAGUUUAUUGGACCGGAGAUCUACUGCUCCCCCAAAACGCCAAUAUCAACUCAUCUUCUACAUUUCUUUACCUGUGCUCAUCAUCGCUGCUGCUGUUUUAAUCAAGCGGGAUAAAAUAAGAGAGCUAUGCCACAGAGGUGAAACUGAAAGUGAGAGAUCUACGUCAGAAGAAAGCAGCAAUGACGAUUUGUCCCCCAGUGAGAGCAACAGUAUCUAACAACCUUGGCUUGAAGAGAGAACGACACCAAAUAAAUAAUCAGAAAUUGGCUUAUACCAAGAAGGAAAAAAAAACAUAAUUUAUUCCUCACCUGUGUUUUCACUAUUGAAGGUUUAAAUUAUGAUAUAAUAAACCAUCGGCACCUGAAUCACCUGAAUC
Long non-coding RNA from Phyllostomus discolor (pale spear-nosed bat), 376 nucleotides. RefSeq lists it as uncharacterized. NCBI's taxonomy places the organism in Eukaryota, Metazoa, Chordata, Mammalia, Chiroptera, Phyllostomidae. The record is from RefSeq and is a predicted model, not a curated record. The transcript has 3 exons.